This 479-nucleotide ribosomal RNA is filed under the name uncultured bacterium. RNAcentral's name for it is "bacterial SSU rRNA". It matches the Rfam family "Bacterial small subunit ribosomal RNA", at positions 36 to 507 of the family's 1533-position model. The record is from RNAcentral.
CUGGCGGCGUGCUUAACNCAUGCAAGUCGAACGGAGAUACCAUGUGAGCGUAAGAUGCUUGCAUCAACAAUCUUUUGGUAUCUUAGUGGCGGACGGGUGAGUAACGCGUGGGUAACCUGCCUCAUACAGGGGGAUAACACUUAGAAAUGACUGCUAAUACCGCAUAAGCGCACAGUACCGCAUGGUACAGUGUGAAAAACUCCGGUGGUAUGAGAUGGACCCGCGUCUGAUUAGCUAGUUGGUAAGGUAACGGCUUACCAAGGCGACGAUCAGUAGCCGGCCUGAGAGGGUGAUCGGCCACAUUGGGACUGAGACACGGCCCAAACUCCUACGGGAGGCAGCAGUGGGGAAUAUUGCACAAUGGGGGAAACCCUGAUGCAGCGACGCCGCGUGAGCGAUGAAGUAUUUCGGUAUGUAAAGCUCUAUCAGCAGGGAAGAAAAUGACGGUACCUGACUAAGAAGCACCGGCUAAAUACGUG